AUUGAACGCUGGCGGCAGGCCUAACACAUGCAAGUCGAGCGGUAACAGGCCGUUGGGUGCUGACGUCAGGGGAGGGGGGGUGUGAUAUACCUGGACGUAUGCAGAGUAGGGGGGUAUAGCGGCGAAAGACGGGCUAUAAUCGCACAUGAGCUGAGAGGGAGAACGGGGGAGAGCUUAGGACUGCUCGCUCUCAGGUGAUUGUAGGUGGCGAUGUCGGAUUAGCUAGUUGGUGGGGUAAAGGCCUACCAAGGCGACGAUCCGUAGCUGGUCUGAGAGGACGAUCAGCCACACUGGAACUGAGACACGGCCCAGACUCCUACGGGAGGCAGCAGUGGGGAAUAUUGGACAAUGGGCGCAAGCCUGAUCCAGCCAUGCCGCGUGUGUGAAGAAGGUCUUCGGAUUGUAAAGCACUUUUAGUUGGGAGGAAACGCAGUAAGCUAAUACCGUGCGGUAUUGACGGUACCUGCAGAAUAAGCACCGGCUAACUUCGUG
This 492-nucleotide ribosomal RNA is filed under the name uncultured bacterium. RNAcentral describes it as "partial 16S ribosomal RNA". It matches the Rfam family "Bacterial small subunit ribosomal RNA", at positions 29 to 507 of the family's 1533-position model. The record is from RNAcentral.